Molecule: unclassified non-coding RNA, 305 nt
Filed under: uncultured fungus
Lineage: Eukaryota; Fungi
Description: partial contains small subunit ribosomal RNA, internal transcribed spacer 1, and 5.8S ribosomal RNA
Rfam family: Eukaryotic small subunit ribosomal RNA (bases 1-73)
Source: RNAcentral
GCAAACUUGGUCAUUUAGAGGAAGUAAAAGUCGUAACAAGGUCUCCGUUGGUGAACCAGCGGAGGGAUCAUUAGAGAGUAUAACAACUCCCAAACCCAUGUGAACCUUACCUCUCGUUGCCUCGGCGGAGAGAGGGUACCCCGUACGGGCUACCCGGGUCUAACCACCCGGCAGUCCAGGGUCGCCCUCCCGCCGCCGCUGGCCCACGAAACUCUGUUUUAUUUUGGAACUCUGAAUUACAAAGCAAAUAAGUUAAAACUUUCAACAACGGAUCUCUUGGUUCUGGCAUCGAUGAAGAACGCAGC